UCUCGGUAACGAUGGGAUCGUUCCAUUAGAUAGUAGGNGGGGUAACGGCCCACCUAGUCAGCGAUGGAUAGGGGUUCUGAGAGGAAGGUCCCNNNNAUUGGAACUGAGACACGGUCNAAACUCCNACGGGAGGCAGCAGUGAGGAAUAUUGGUCAAUGGACGGAAGUCUGAACCAGCCAAGUAGCGUGAAGGAUGAAGGUUCUAUGGAUUGUAAACUUCUUUUAUCUGGGAAUAAAGCCNNNNNCGCGUGGGNGUUUGUAUGUACCUUAUGAAUAAG
RNAcentral lists this ribosomal RNA (277 nucleotides) under uncultured bacterium. RNAcentral describes it as "partial 16S ribosomal RNA". It matches the Rfam family "Bacterial small subunit ribosomal RNA", at positions 213 to 490 of the family's 1533-position model. The record is from RNAcentral.